RNAcentral lists this long non-coding RNA (1292 nucleotides) under Monodelphis domestica (gray short-tailed opossum). Its description in RNAcentral is "lncRNA (ENSMODG00000047348.1)". Lineage: Eukaryota; Metazoa; Chordata; Mammalia; Didelphimorphia; Didelphidae. The record is from RNAcentral.
GGAAUUGUGGGAGUCUAAAACUGAAAAUAACUGAACUUCACUUCCUUCUUGGAUUUCAUUUGAGCUGGGAGUGGGUUUUGUCUCUGCCUACAAUUUCAAGCUGGAAAAGGAGUUUUGCUCUAAGAGACACUUCCUGGAAAGUCAGGAAGAAAAUCUUUGGCAUCUAGGUAGCGUAUUUACUUGGAGAAAACUAAUUUCUCUUAGUCCAGUCUUCAUCUCCCAGUGGUCAAUCUACGAAAAUUCCUAUUGGCUAAGGUAAUCCAAAGGUUUUCAUCUAUAACUUUAGUUACUUAGUUCAGCAGCCAAACCCAGGAGUUUUCCCCUUUCUUUCUUUAUUAAUUACUGGUGGGAAGAUUAGGGUCAGUCAGAUAGCCUGGGAAAGGGUGUUAGAUAGCAUGAGGAGAUGUAGGUAGGAGCCAAAGAAUAACAGAAGGCUCUCCUUUCACAUGGGAACUUAAGAGCUGGGUGGAGAUAGCCAGAAGAGUGUCAGGGUCAUAUCUACCAGUUCCCCUUAUCCCUUCUGUUAAAAUAAACUUUGUUUUAUAAUCAGAGGGUCUGGUGUUAAAUUGGCCCCAAAGAGUUCAUAGGUGGGUUAUAAUAUCUUAUAUCCCUCUAGGAUACUUCCCCAUUACAAUAUCAUUUUACAAGAAAUUAUCCCAGAAAACUGCCCUGAUAUUCUUGAGCAAGAGGGCAAAAUAGACAUUGAAAGAAUCCAUAAAUCAAUCUCUACAUUAAAUUCUCAAAAGAGAACUCCCAGGAAUGUAAUUGUCAAAUUCAUAAGCUUCCAAGCUAAGGAGAAAAAUAUUGCAAGAAGUCAGAAAAAGAAAAUUCAGAUAUCAAGGAUAACCAAUCAGGGUUACACAGGAUCUGGCAGCCUCUACACUAAAGGACCACAAGGCUUGGAAUAUGAUAUUCAGAAAGGGUUGUUGCUGCUAUCACCACCACCACCACCACUGCUUCUACUAUAAAUACCUGAGGGAAUAAGAGGAAGGAAUUUAUUAUUUCUUAUAAAUGGAGGAUCAUUCAAAUAUACAGGUGAGGGUAGAAAGUUUGAGCAAAGAAAGAUAAUAAGAAUUCAUUAAGUACUUACUAUGUGUCAAACACCAUAAGAGCUAUGGAUAAAAACACAAACAAAAUACAGUCCUGGCCCUCAAGGAACUUGUAUUCUAAUGGUGAACAUGGAAGCAGGAGGAAAGAAGGUGUUGAACCUGAUCUAAGCAGGGUUAUUGAAGUCCAGAAAGUCAUAAGGAGAACCAGGACAAGAAUAAAGAUUGGUUGACCUGAUACCCUCA